RNAcentral lists this ribosomal RNA (497 nucleotides) under uncultured bacterium. Its description in RNAcentral is "partial 16S ribosomal RNA". It matches the Rfam family "Bacterial small subunit ribosomal RNA", at positions 28 to 507 of the family's 1533-position model. The record is from RNAcentral.
GAUGAACGCUGGCGGCGUGCCUAAUACAUGCAAGUCGAGCGAACGGAUGAGAAGCUUGCUUCUCUGAUGUUAGCGGCGGACGGGUGAGUAACACGUGGAUAACCUACCUAUAAGACUGGGAUAACUUCGGGAAACCGGAGCUAAUACCGGAUAAUAUUUUGAACCGCAUGGUUCAAAAGUGAAAGACGGUCUUGCUGUCACUUAUAGAUGGAUCCGCGCUGCAUUAGCUAGUUGGUAAGGUAGCGGCUUACCAAGGCAACGAUGCAUAGCCGACCUGAGAGGGUGAUCGGCCACACUGGAACUGAGACACGGUCCAGACUCCUACGGGAGGCAGCAGUAGGGAAUCUUCCGCAAUGGGCGAAAGCCUGACGGAGCAACGCCGCGUGAGUGAUGAAGGUCUUCGGAUCGUAAAACUCUGUUAUUAGGGAAGAACAUAUGUGUAAGUAACUGUGCACAUCUUGACGGUACCUAAUCAGAAAGCCACGGCUAACUACGUG